RNAcentral lists this ribosomal RNA (274 nucleotides) under uncultured bacterium. RNAcentral describes it as "partial 16S ribosomal RNA". It matches the Rfam family "Archaeal small subunit ribosomal RNA", at positions 473 to 747 of the family's 1478-position model. The record is from RNAcentral.
AUACCCGCUCCGCGAGUGGUGGGGACUUUUACUGGGCUUAAAGCGCCCGUAGCCGGCUGGGUGUGUCCUCCGUUAAAUCCACAGGCCUAACCUGUGGGCUGCGGGGGAUACUACCCGGCUCGGGGGUGGGAGAGGGCGGCGGUAUUCCCGGGGUAGGGGUAAAAUCCACUGAUCCCGGGAGGACCACCAGUGGCGAAGGCGGCCGCCCAGAACACGCCCGACGGUGAGGGGCGAAAGCUGGGGGAGCAUACGGGAUUAGAAACCCUAGUAGUCC